Molecule: ribosomal RNA, 414 nt
Filed under: uncultured microorganism
Description: bacterial SSU rRNA
Rfam family: Archaeal small subunit ribosomal RNA
Source: RNAcentral
CAGCAGCCGCGGUAAUACCGGCGGCCCGAGUGGCGGUCACUAUUAUUGGGCUUAAAGCGUCCGUAGCCGGGUUGGGAAGUCCUCCGGGAAAUCUGGCCGCUUAACGGUCAGAAUGCCGGAGGAUACUCCCAGCCUAGGGAGCGGGAGAGGCCGAGGGUAUUCCCGGAGUAGGGGUGAAAUCCUAUAAUCCCGGGAGGUACACCUGUGGCGAAGGCGCUCGGCUGGAACGCGUCCGACGGUGAGGGACGAAGGCCAGGGGAGCAAACCGGAGUAGAUACCCGGGUAGUCCUGGCUGUAAACGAUGCGGACUUUGUGUCGGACAAGCUAUGAGCUUGUCCGGUGCCGGAGGGAAACCGUUAAGUCCGCCGCCUGGGGAGUACGGCCGCAAGGCUGAAACUUAAAGGAAUUGGCGGG